RNAcentral lists this ribosomal RNA (253 nucleotides) under uncultured bacterium. Its description in RNAcentral is "partial 16S ribosomal RNA". It matches the Rfam family "Bacterial small subunit ribosomal RNA", at positions 524 to 776 of the family's 1533-position model. The record is from RNAcentral.
UACAGAGGUCUCAAGCGUUGUUCGGAUUCAUUGGGCGUAAAGAGCGUGUAGGCGGCCAGGUAGGUCUGCUGUGAAAACUCGAGGCUUAACCUCGAGCUGUCGGCGGAAACCAUCUGGCUAGAGUCCGGAAGAGGAGAAUGGAAUUCCCGGUGUAGCGGUGAAAUGCGCAGAUAUCGGGAAGAACACCCGUGGCGAAGGCGGUUCUCUGGGACGGUACUGACGCUGAGACGCGAAGGCCAGGGGAGCAAACGGG